Molecule: ribosomal RNA, 253 nt
Filed under: uncultured bacterium
Lineage: Bacteria
Description: partial 16S ribosomal RNA
Rfam family: Bacterial small subunit ribosomal RNA
Source: RNAcentral
GACGGAGGAUGCAAGUGUUAUCCGGAAUCACUGGGCGUAAAGCGUCUGUAGGUGGUUCGAAAAGUCCACUGUUAAAAAUUGAGGCUUAACUUCAAAGAUGCCGUGGAAACUUUCAAGCUAGAGUAUGGUAGGGGUAGAGGGAAUUUCCAGUGGAGCGGUGAAAUGCGUAGAUAUUGGAAAGACCACCGAUGGCGAAGGCACUCUACUGGGCCACUACUGACACUGAGAGACGAAAGCUAGGGGAGCAAAUGGG